Molecule: ribosomal RNA, 433 nt
Filed under: uncultured bacterium
Lineage: Bacteria
Description: partial 16S ribosomal RNA
Rfam family: Bacterial small subunit ribosomal RNA
Source: RNAcentral
AACGAACGCUGGCGGCAUGCCUAACACAUGCAAGUCGAACGAGACCUUCGGGUCUAGUGGCGCACGGGUGCGUAACGCGUGGGAACCUGCCCUUAGGUUCGGAAUCACUCCCCGAAAGGGGUGCUAAUACCGGAUAAUGUCUUCGGACCAAAGAUUUAUCGCCUUUGGAUGGGCCCGCGUUGGAUUCGCUAGUUGGUAGGGUAAAAGCCUACCAAGGCGACGAUCCAUAGCUGGUCUGAGAGGAUGAUCAGCCACACUGGGACUGAGACACGGCCCAGACUCCUACGGGAGGCAGCAGUGGGGAAUAUUGGACAAGGGGCGAAAGCCUGAUCCAGCAAUGCCGCGUGAGUGAUGAAGGCCUUAGUGUUGUAAAGCUCUUUUACCCGGGAUGAUAAUGACAGUACCGGGAGAAGAAGCUCCGGCUAACUCCGUG